UACGUAGGUGGCAAGCGUUGUCCGGAUUUACUGGGCGUAAAGAGCGCGCAGGCGGUCGUUCAAGUCGCGUGUGAAAGCCCCCGGCUCAACUGGGGAGGGUCACGCGAUACUGAUCGACUGGAAGGCAGGAGAGGGUAGUGGAAUUCCCGGUGUAGUGGUGAAAUGCGUAGAUAUCUGGAGGAACACCGGUGGCGAAGGCGGCGUCCUGGACCAACACUGACACUGAAAAGCGAAAGCCAGGGGAGCAAACGGG
RNAcentral lists this ribosomal RNA (253 nucleotides) under uncultured bacterium. Its description in RNAcentral is "partial 16S ribosomal RNA". It matches the Rfam family "Bacterial small subunit ribosomal RNA", at positions 524 to 776 of the family's 1533-position model. The record is from RNAcentral.